Molecule: long non-coding RNA, 2361 nt
Filed under: Marmota monax (woodchuck)
Lineage: Eukaryota; Metazoa; Chordata; Mammalia; Rodentia; Sciuridae
Source: RNAcentral
CAAAAACCUCAGUUCAUGCACAGAAUUUUAGUUUCCACAUGAAGUUACACAUUAAUAUGGCAGUUUCUUAGAAAAAAUAAUCUGGCUAUCAGUACAUUUUGGAGUUUUUCACAUAUACUCUACCUAUUAUUUUUGUAAUUGAAAGAAUGUACAUGAAAUUUAUAAUUUUUAUAAAUAUUACCAAAUUUGUAUUCUGAAUAUCACUCUUUAGUAAUAUAAAGACUUAUAUUCUUGAAUAUUUUUAUAGCUACAUAGCACUCUACCAUGUAUGAUAGUUUAUAUAAAUGGUCUCCUGAUGGAAUCAAUUUUUAAUGGAGUUUCUACACUGAAGAACUCUGUUAUAUGAUGAAACAAUUUCCUAUGGUUGUUUUUUUCUCAUCCAUAAGUUACCUUUCAAUUUUUCGGAACCACUGUAAGCCCACAGCUCAAUGUCACUGGCUACAUGUGCAUUAUGUGCAGCCGUCACCACCAUCCAUUCCCACAAAUUUGUCAUCAGAAACAGAAACUCUGUCCCCAUUAAACACUUUCUUCAUAUUUACCCUUUCGAACACUGUUUUGAGGUAACUAUGGAGUUCAAACCCUAGUUAGUGCCUUGUCAGAGUAUUAACAUGGAUAGAGCCAGUCUCUGCCUUGACAGGCAUCUGCUCAGAGUAGAUAUGAAAAAUUGAAAGGUAACUUAUGGAUAGAAAAAAACAAUCAGAGAAUUGUUUAAUCUUACAACAGAGUUCUUCAGUGUAAAAAGUCCAUUAAAAACUUGAUUUCCAUCAGGAGGUUAUUUAUAUAAACUUCAGUACAACCACACAUGCAGUACUAUAUAAGCUAUAAAAAAGAAUUAAGAAUAUCUCUUUAUACUACUAUAGAGUGAUACUAGUAAUGUUAAAAAGUCUCUAACAGCUUUAUUGAUAUAUAAUUCUUAUUAAAAACUACAGCCAUUUAAUGUAUACAAUUUGAUGAGUUCAGACAUAAGCACACACCCGUGGUAGCCUAUGCUCAAGGUAAUAAACAUGAUAAAACACACCCAUCACCUCCAGUAGUUUCCUUGUGUCCUUUUUUGUUUUUUUUUCAGGGUAGGAAUGCUUAACAUGAGCUCUACCCUCUUAAAUUUUUAAGUGCACAAUACUGUGUGGUUAACUAUAGGCAAAAAAAAAAAAUCAUCAUCAUUAAAAUUUAGAGGGGAAAUUAUAUAUAGGGGACAAGGUUAUAAGGUAAACGUCCAAUUUAAUUUGUUUUAUAAUUUGGCUUUAGAAGCAUGUGAAUACAGUCAACCUUCCAUAUCCAGGAUUUCUACUCGAGUAGAUUCAACCAGCUUCUGAUUGAAAAUGGUGUAAAUGUUAUGGUUUGGGUAUGGAAUGUCCCUGAAGUCUCAUUUGAAGGCUUGGUCUCCAAAGCAGCAAUGUUCAGAGGUGGGAUUUCAGGAAAUGUUUGGAUUAUGAGGGCACUAACCCUGUCAAAGGGUUAGUUAAUCUUGACUGAAUAGACAAUGAGAGGUACAGGAGACUAUAGGAGAGGGGACUUAUUUAGAGGAGGUGGGUCACUGGGGGUGUGCCCUGGAAGGGUUUAUCUUGUCCCUGGCCCCUUGCUCACUCGCGGACUCUCUGCUUCCCAGCUGCCAGGAGCUGAGCAGCUUUCCUCCACCACGACCAUUACCAUCAUGUUCUGCCUCCCCACAGCCCAAAGCAAUGGAGCCAGCCAACCAUGGAUUGAAACCUCUGAAACUGUGAGCCAAAACCAAUCUUUGAGGGUCAGGGUUGUGGCUCAGUGGUAGAACACUUGCCUAUUAUGUGUAAGGCACUGGGUUCUAUCCCUGGCACCACAUAAAAAAAUAAAUAAAUAAACGUAUUGUGUCCAUCUCCAAAAAAAAAAAACAAAAAACACUUUGCUGCUCUAAGUUGUUCUUGUGAGGUAUUUUGGUCAUAGGGUGUUUGUGUAAACACUAUACCAUUUUAUGUAAGGUAUUGAAGGAUUCACAGAUUUUGGUAUUUGGGGGUGGGGUUCCUAGAACCAAUGACCCAUGGGACAACUUAAUUAUUAAUUUAAUAAUUACAUAAUUAUUAAGAUGGAUUUUUAUUUAUUUAUUACAUACAUGACAUUAGUGGAAUGCAUUACAUUCAUAAUUAUCCAUUCACAGCACGAUUUUUCGGAACUGUAUAUAAAGUAGAAUUGUAAUGCGAAAAUAAAUAAAUAAAUAAAAUUUUUGAUUCCUAAAAAUCGAAAGCACAAUGAAAUAAAUGAACCCCUAGUCAUAUAUCAAUUUGGUGACAUAAAUACAGAAUGGAAUUAUUUCAAACAACUUUGAAAUACAGGAACUUCUUAGUGGCAUGUACUCUAAGGAUAAAAGGGGUGACAAUAAAUAAAUAAUUG